UGGCAAUGAGGAUUAAAUUUUAUACCAUCAAACUUUGAAAGCUUUAGCUUGUUGAUGCAAAUCACAACUAUAAUCUCUGAGCCU
Small nucleolar RNA from Cannabis sativa, 84 nucleotides. RefSeq annotates it as small nucleolar RNA snoR116. Lineage: Eukaryota; Viridiplantae; Streptophyta; Magnoliopsida; Rosales; Cannabaceae. The transcript has a single exon. The record is from RefSeq and is a predicted model, not a curated record.